Balaenoptera ricei (Rice's whale) is the source of this 4573-nucleotide long non-coding RNA. RefSeq lists it as uncharacterized. The record is from RefSeq and is a predicted model, not a curated record. The transcript has 2 exons. NCBI's taxonomy places the organism in Eukaryota, Metazoa, Chordata, Mammalia, Artiodactyla, Balaenopteridae.
GGAAAAGUUCAGAAUCUUUGUAGUAAUUGUAGCUUGGACAUCCAUUAGGAGGCUGCCAGCAGACUUAACUGCAAACCUAAUUCGUGAUUUUAGGGGCUCUGGGAAGUCUCUGAUGCUCCCAAACCCAUUACCUUCCUGCUGGUAUGUGUCCAAAACCGUACUAUUAUAGAUUCAUGGCUUUGCACUGAGAUUCCUAUUUAAGAUCCUCUGGAGGAGAGACACUUGGCUAUUUUCUGCAAAGGACUUAAGCAUGCCUGGUACUGUGGAAAUUUAAAGAGUGAGUGAGCAUGUGGGAUCUUAGUCCCCCAACCAGGGAUUGAACCUGUGCCCCCUGCAGUGGAAGCGCAACGUCUUAACCACUGGACCGCCAGGGAAGUUUCCAAGUAGGGCCGGUGCUGCUUUUCUGGGAACCACACUGCAGCAAUGUUUUUGAAAAUGUUGGCCAACAAAUCUGCUUUAUCCUGCACCUUCCUGCUGCUGUCUCUUUGGUUAUACAACCUGCCUCCAGUCUCCCCUCACAUCCUGAGUCUGAAACUCUGGGUCCAUCUACAUUGCUCCCCAAAGCACCAGAGCUCCUGAGGCCAAUUCCCCGGCUGCAGUACGGCUGGGUCCACCUGGGAGGGCUGAGUCCCAGAGUUCCCGUCAACAGCCCCAACCUGGGGGCACUCUGCGCAGACACCGUGGGGACUGCUGCUGACCCACGUGGACUGAGACACUUCUGGGGCACCCUCGUGUUCACGGAUUCCAAAGAAAACGAAUUUUCACUGUGGGGCUGAGCACUGGGGGUGGCAGCGAGCACGGGGGCUGUGGAAGGUGCCUGGUGAAGGGGUCAGCUGCCUUUCCCCAGCAGGCCCCGGGGGCGCUGGACCCGUCCAUUCGAGAACCUCUGCAGCCCUGAUGUCCCCUCUCCCACCCACAGCAAUACAAAUCACGAGCCUCCCAAGUUUUCCGGCCGGUGCCACCUGGAAGCCCAUCCCUCAGACAGGACACCCUUCAAGACAUAAAGAGGAAGUGACAUCUGACACCCUCUGUGGAAACUCCAGGUCGUGGUCAGAGAGUGUGAGAGACACACUGAGAAGUAUGAGUGUUGCCAUCUGGAGUGUUUGCUCACGUGAGUGGAACAAUCCCAGGUGCCCAAACACCAGACAGAAUGGAAAAUUCUAUCUUAAAAAGAUAGAAUCUUAAAAAGGUCUUUCACUGUGAUUUUUCCAUGACGUGACCAGCUUUUCACUCAGUUGUUUUUCCCGGCAGAUGCCAGGUAGGUUUCGACAAAACCGGAAGUGUGGGGAGUGACACCCUAGGAAUUAGGACUUUCUCUUUCCUCUCCUCUUUAGGACACACUCUUGUUUCCACAGCAGGCAGCAUUAGCGGCGAGUCUGCCACUAUUUUCACCACUUUAGAACUAGCUCCUUCUCUGCUGGGGAUUUUCCACGGCGACAUAAAUCUCUAGGCCUCAUACUAGCAAAGUACACUAAUUGCUACCUCAGUUAGAGCAAGUGAACUCUGGAAAUUCCCACGGCCUUGGCCAAGACCUUAAUGGGGUGGGUUUUUUAAUGUUCUGGAUUCUCUUCUUUCCAUGCCAGCCAAAAGCAGGCUUCCCUGGCACAGCACAACACCCCUUCAAAAUAUAAACCCUCUGGAUUGGAGGCCUCUGUAAGCCUGCCUAUUUAGGCCCUGAACCUAGCAGGAGAAGAUGCAAUGCAUAAAAAUAAGCAGAGCAGGAAUGUCAUUUAUUAAGUGACGGCUGCCAGUGUUGGGGAAACUUCCGGUUAUCAGAUAUCUGAGAAUGAGGUCAGGUCUGGUCUCUCCAGCUCUUGUGAUCAGGACACUGACUCAGAACCAGAAAUCUGACCACUGGGCAGUGCCUGCCAGAGUAGGAAGAGUACAGCCAGGAAUCAAACUUGGACUCCAUGUCAGGUAUGGCCCUCCUAGCUGUGCGACCUCUCUGAGCCAUUAUUUCUUCAAAAUGGGGAUAAUGCACCUGCCUACCUAUUCUCAUGGGAUUAUAGGGAGAGGAAGAUAACAUAUUUAAAAGUGAUUUGAGGGACUUCCCUGGCGGUCCAGUGGUUAAAGACUUCGCCUUCCAAUGCAGGGGGUGCGGGUUCAAUCCCUGGUUGGGGAGCUAAGAUCCCACACGCCUUGUGGCCAAAAAACCAAAACAUAAAACGGAAGGAAUACUGUAACAAAUUCAAUAAAGACUUUAAAAAUGGUCCACAUUAAAAAAAAAAAAAAAAGUGAUUUGAAAGCCGUAAAGUGUUAUUCCAUGCAUAAAAUCUGGGCUUAUUGUGAAGGUUAAAUUAAAUGAGAACAUUCACACACACACACACACCACACAGAGGUGUUUAACAACCGGCUUUCUAGAAAGGGAAAUGCCAGUGAUUUUUAUCAUUUGCCAAUUUCCAUGGCGUAAAUAAUACCUCUAUGGCUGAUUUCAGAGUAUCAACGUGAUGUCACUGCAUAUCAAGUUGAGAAGAAAUGUGCAUAAUUGACUCCUGUGAGCUGAGCUGAGCCGCUCAAGCACACCACUGUUUACUUAUUUUACCCCCUCUUAUGUGAGGCCCUUAGCGCGGUGCCUGAAAAGAAGGGACCCCGACCUCCUCCUCCUCCUGGUCAUAUUCACUCACUAGGUAGGGAACUGGCAGACCAGUCCAGUCGCCGGAGUCAGAAACGUUGGCUGGUGUGUACUCUAAAGUUCUGGGGAGAUUCUCACACAGCCCGGAUUGGGAAAGCAGCAACUGGCUGCAACUCCUUGGGGGCUGGGACCACGUCCCACUUUUGUUUGUAUCCCCACUUCCAGAACAGGGCCUGACCCACUGGAUGCUUCCCUAAACGACGUGAUGGCAGCUCAUUAACUGUAGCUAAAAUGAUCCAGAAAGGGGUCAGACCCACAGAGAUGUGAGAGCAGAGGGCCCCUGCCUGCUGCAUUUGCACCGCUGGCAUUCUCGCUACUCCUCCACGUGCCGUCCCUGCUGACCUGUGCUGCUUCUUCAAGCGCCGCCCAUGAGCCCCCAAACCCACCACCCAUCCUGGUUCUGCUGCUUCCCCUCUGGGUCCUGUGGCGCCUGCGUCCACUUACUCCCCUGCUCCGAGUUUAGUUAUCCCCUCAGGACCCUCAGGUCCCAGGGCACCCUUCUUUCUCCCUGUACUGAGAGUCACAAGGCCAGAUGCUUUAAACUCAAGACAAGGAGUGGAGGCAGUGAGCGCAUGCGUGUCUGUCUCCGCUGCCUCCCCCGCCCCUCUGCCGCCCGGCUUGGCUUCUUCCAGCUCUGUCCCUAGGACAGCGUCCAUCCAGAACAGAACCUCAGUAAAUAUUACCUGAAUAAAGAGAAAUAAUUCAUGGGGACAGGACUACAGGAAGGGAGGAGAGGAAGGCAUUCCAGGUGAAUUAAUUACUGCAGGAAAGACCUAAAGUAAUUGGUGCUUCCUCGGCCUGAGUACAAUAGCAAAGGAAAAUUGAUUUUUAAGCCAAAAAUGUUCACAUCUCCAUCCAUCACUGAAGAUAUGUCCCACCCAUUUUUAUGUUCUCUCUCAACCCUGCAUGCCAACAUAAACUACCAACUCCUUUGGCUUUCUCAAGUAACCUGGAGAAAAAUGAGACGGAGUUCUCCAAGAAUGGAACAGAAAUUUCCACAUCACCUGUUUUAGGUACAAAUACAAUGGCCAAAUUUUCUCAACUCCAAUAGAAAAGGUAUAACUCUUGCACUUACCAGGAGAAGGGAACAGCCUACUUGUAACCAGGGUCACCGUAUAAAAAUCCAGCCUUGGGGCUUCCCUGGUGGUGCAGUGGUUGGGAAUCCGCCUGCCGGUGCGGGCGACACGGGUUCGAGCCCUGGUCCGGGAGGAUCCCACAUGCCGCGGAGCGACUGGGCCCGUGUGCCACAACUGCUGAGCCUGCGCUCUGGAGUCUGUGAGCCACAGCUACUGAGCCCGUGUGCUGCUGCUACUGAAGCCCAUGCACCCUAGAGCCCGUGCUCCGCGGCGGGAGAGGCCACCGCAAUGAGAAGACUACGCUGCAACGAGGAGUGGCCCCCGCUCGCCACAACUAGAGAGAGCCCGCACACAGCAACGGAGACCCAGUGUAGCCAAAAAUAAGUAAAUAAAAUAAAAAAAAAAUAAAAAAAAAAAAAAUCCAGCCUUGAAAGCUACAAUCAAUGGUCCUGAUGGCUGAGUUCCUGAUCUGAAAGUUAAAUGUUCUUACACACUCAGAACAUGUGUGACACCCUGCUUUAAAGAAAACAAGGGAGGGCUUCCCUGGUGGUGCAGUGGUUAAGAAUCCGCCUGCCAAUUCAGGGGACACGAGUUCGAGCCCUGGUCCGGGAAGAUCCCACAUGCCGCAGAGCAACAAAGCCCGUGAGCCACAACUACUGAGCCCGUGUGCCACAACUACUGAAGCCUGCACGCCUAGAGCCCGUGCUCCACAACGAGAGAAGCCACGACGAUUAGAAGCCUGCGCACCACAAGAAAGAGUAGCCCCAGCUCGCCAAAACUAGAGAAAGCCCACGUGCAGCAACGAAGACCCAACGCAGCCAAAAAUAAAUACAUAAAAUAAAAAUUUAAAAAAAAAGGAAAACAA